ACUCCUACGGGAGGCAGCAGUGAGGAAUAUUGGUCAAUGGAGGGAACUCUGAACCAGCCAUCCCGCGUGUAGGAAGACGGCCUUAUGGGUUGUAAACUACUUUUAUACAGGAAGAAACGUACCCUCGUGAGGGUGCCUGACGGUACUGUAGGAAUAAGCACCGGCUAACUCUGUGCCAGCAGCCGCGGUAAUACAGAGGGUGCGAGCGUUAAUCGGAUUUACUGGGCGUAAAGCGUGCGUAGGCGGCCAUUUAAGUCAAAUGUGAAAUCCCCGAGCUUAACUUGGGAAUUGCAUUCGAUACUGGAUGGCUAGAGUAUGGGAGAGGAUGGUAGAAUUCCAGGUGUAGCGGUGAAAUGCGUAGAGAUCUGGAGGAAUACCGAUGGCGAAGGCAGCCAUCUGGCCUAAUACUGACGCUGAGGUACGAAAGCAUGGGGGAGCAAACAGGAUUAGAUACCCUGGUAGACAUCAC
Molecule: ribosomal RNA, 469 nt
Filed under: uncultured bacterium
Lineage: Bacteria
Description: bacterial SSU rRNA
Rfam family: Bacterial small subunit ribosomal RNA
Source: RNAcentral